GAUGAAGAACGUAGCGAAAUGCGAUAAGUAAUGUGAAUUGCAGAAUUCAGUGAAUCAUCGAAUCUUUGAACGCACCUUGCGCCCUUUGGCUAUUCUGAAGGGCAUGCCUGUUUGAGUAUCGUGAACACCUCAACUCUCAUGGUCUGCCAUGAUGAGCUUGGACUUUGGGGGUCUUGCUGGCCUACUGUCAGCUCCUCUCAAAUGAAUCAGCUUACCAGUGUUUGGUGGCACCACAGGUGUGAUAACUAUCUACGCUUGUGGUUUUCUGCCAGGUAACCUCCAGUGAUGGAGGUUCGCUGGAGCUCACAAAUGUCUCUCCUCAGCGAGGACAGCUUUUUGAACGUUUGAUCUCAAAUCAGGUAGGACUACCCGCUGAACUUAAGCAUAUCAAUAAGCGGAGGU
RNAcentral lists this unclassified non-coding RNA (402 nucleotides) under soil metagenome. Its description in RNAcentral is "partial contains 5.8S ribosomal RNA, internal transcribed spacer 2, and large subunit ribosomal RNA". The stretch from base 1 to 121 matches the Rfam family "5.8S ribosomal RNA", at positions 35 to 154 of the family's 154-position model. The record is from RNAcentral.